AAGUAUCAUAUUUUUAACAUAUUUAAAACACAUGAAAUGAAGCACAUAAAAUCAUAAUUUGCUCAAGAGUGUCAUGCUCAUGAUGCUUAUGCUUGAUGGAAUGCUUAUGCAGGGCUUUGGUGAGACUAAGUGCAUGCUUAACACCUAGGGGGUUACAGCCCUUCCCCCCUUAGGGAAAUCUCGUCCCGAGAUUUUGGGUUACUAACCAUUUCUUGUGAAAUUUUGGAUAAACUGUUUUUAAGUAAUCCUCUGUUUCCCAGGUGGCAUCCCUAUCGUCAUGAUGACUCCACACCACUUUAUAAGUUCUGACAACUUUGUUUCGGGUUACUCGCUCCUUGGUAUCCACAAUCUCCACUGGCUGCUCCUUAUACUCUAGGUCUGCUUUUAUCUUGAUCCCUCGAGGUUCAACUCUUUGCUCAGGCACUUUCAAACAUUUCCGUAGUUGCGACACAUGGAAGACCGGAAAGAUCGAGCUCAUCUCUUCAGGUAACUGAAUCUUAUAGGCCACUGGGCCUUUCCUCUCUAGCACUUGGUAAGUCUCCUAACCCGAGGCUUGCUUCUAAGAUUCUUCAGUAAUUCGACUUCUAAUACUAGUAAGUUCUUGUUUUAUUGUUCUUUGGUUUAUGAGUUUACUUUAAUCCUCUUCCGGUUGAGUAUUAGAGUAAUCACUUGUUAGCGUAAACGUGGUGUUUAGGCUAGGGUACUCAUAGAUAUCCCCUGACUAGCUGGACCGUGGU
This 737-nucleotide long non-coding RNA is filed under the name Sorghum bicolor (sorghum). RNAcentral describes it as "long non-coding RNA (SBIC_LNC014491)". The record is from RNAcentral. Lineage: Eukaryota; Viridiplantae; Streptophyta; Magnoliopsida; Poales; Poaceae.